Pteropus alecto (black flying fox) is the source of this 104-nucleotide non-coding RNA. NCBI's taxonomy places the organism in Eukaryota, Metazoa, Chordata, Mammalia, Chiroptera, Pteropodidae. The record is from Rfam.
GUACUUGCUUUGGCAGCUCAUAUACUAAAAUUGGAACGAUUCAGAGAUUAGCAAGGCCUUUGAGCAAUGAUGACACAGAAAUUCAUGAAACGUUCCAUAUUUUC